AUUGAACGCUGGCGGCAUGCCUUACACAUGCAAGUCGAACGGUAACGCGGGGCAACCUGGCGACGAGUGGCGAACGGGUGAGUAAUGCAUCGGAACGUGCCCGGUAGUGGGGGAUAACUGCUCGAAAGAGCAGCUAAUACCGCAUACGACCUGAGGGUGAAAGGGGGGGAUCGCAAGACCUCUCGCUAUCAGAGCGGCCGAUGUCGGAUUAGCUAGUUGGUGGGGUAAAGGCCCACCAAGGCGACGAUCCGUAGCUGGUCUGAGAGGACGACCAGCCACACUGGGACUGAGAGACGGCCCAGACUCCUACGGGAGGCAGCAGUGGGGAAUUUUGGACAAUGGACGCAAGUCUGAUCCAGCCAUGCCGCGUGCGGGAAGAAGGCCUUCGGGUUGUAAACCGCUUUUGUCAGGGAAGAAAUCUUCUGGGUUAAUACCUCGGGAGGAUGACGGUACCUGAAGAAUAAGCACCGGCUAACUACGUGCCAGCCGCCGCGGUAC
This 498-nucleotide ribosomal RNA is filed under the name uncultured bacterium. RNAcentral describes it as "partial 16S ribosomal RNA". It matches the Rfam family "Bacterial small subunit ribosomal RNA", at positions 29 to 523 of the family's 1533-position model. The record is from RNAcentral.